RNAcentral lists this transfer RNA (66 nucleotides) under Agrotis segetum (turnip moth). Its description in RNAcentral is "tRNA-Ala". It matches the Rfam family "tRNA". From Rfam's summary of the family: Transfer RNA (tRNA) molecules are approximately 80 nucleotides in length. Their secondary structure includes four short double-helical elements and three loops (D, anti-codon, and T loops). The record is from RNAcentral. Lineage: Eukaryota; Metazoa; Arthropoda; Insecta; Lepidoptera; Noctuidae.
AGGAUUAUAGUUUAAAUAAAACAUUUGAUUUGCAUUCAAAAAAUAUUAUUAUAAUAAUUUAUCUUA